RNAcentral lists this ribosomal RNA (497 nucleotides) under uncultured bacterium. Its description in RNAcentral is "partial 16S ribosomal RNA". It matches the Rfam family "Bacterial small subunit ribosomal RNA", at positions 28 to 507 of the family's 1533-position model. The record is from RNAcentral.
GAUGAACGCUGGCGGCGUGCCUAAUACAUGCAAGUCGAGCGAACAGACGAGGAGCUUGCUCCUCUGACGUUAGCGGCGGACGGGUGAGUAACACGUGGAUAACCUACCUAUAAGACUUGGAGAACUUCGGGAAACCGGAGCUAAUACCAGAUAAUAUAUUCAACCGCAUGGUUCAAUAGUGAAAGACGGUUUUGCUGUCACUUAUAGAUGGAUCCGCGCCGCAUUAGCUAGUUGGUAAGGUAACGGCUUACCAAGGCGACGAUGCGUAGCCGACCUGAGAGGAUGAUCAGCCACACUGGAACUGAGACACGGUCCAGACUCCUACGGGAGGCAGCAGUGGGGAAUAUUGCGCAAUGGGCGCAAGCCUGACGGAGCAACGCCGCGUGAGUGAUGAAGGUCUUCGGAUCGUAAAGCUCUGUUAUUAGGGAAGAACAACUGUGUAAGUAAAUAUGGCCGUCUUGACGGUACCUAAUCAGAAAGCAACGGCUAACUACGUG